Molecule: long non-coding RNA, 1133 nt
Organism: Herpailurus yagouaroundi (jaguarundi)
Lineage: Eukaryota; Metazoa; Chordata; Mammalia; Carnivora; Felidae
Exons: 2
Source: RefSeq, a predicted model, not a curated record
AUGAGCACUGGGUGUUGUAUGGAAACUAAUUUGACAAUAAAUUAUAUUUAAUAUAUAAAAAAAGAACUGUUCACUUGCAUUCCCACUCCACAUUGUGAUGAUGCAUUCUGUUUGCCUGACAGGGACCAUGUAAUAAUGACCUCUAAGUGCUUUUCUCUGCUCAAACUGGAUAAACGUUCCUACCAUGACUUCAUAAAACUUAUUUCUUUUACCUCUCACCAGAAUCCUGAGAGAAGCAGAAAUGAGUCUCAGUGAAGGAACACAACCAGCCCAAAAUGACACAAUGAGUAAAUGGCAAAGUUAUGAGACAUCAAGGGGAGAUGCAAAGGCAUCUCCAAGGAAAAAGGGGACAUUCAGAAUUUCUCUGGGAAAAGGCAUGUAGAGUUCCCAGCCAGGUGCAAUGCAGCAGAUCUGUGGAUAUCCUGGAUGUCAGGAAAGAGUGAUUUGGAGACACCAGGGUUGAAGUGAUAUAUUUCAAUAUGCUUGGUUUGAAAGUUUUUGAACCCUUUUGUAAUUGGAGAUAACCUUUCCUCUGGUUUUAGGGCCUCCUUGACUCUGUGCUCAAAGGAUGGUAAAGAAUAAUGUCUCUUCUAUUUAAAUAGAAGGAUUUUCAAGCCAGUAAAAAUAUCUUAUUUGCUUUUAUGUCUCCAUUGCCUUGCAUGGUUCUAGCACAAAGGCACUAAAAUUGAGGAACUGGUAGAUAAAUUCCACUUAUAAAGUGGAAAGUAUAAUAGAGCAUGAAGGAGGCCACCUCCACUGGAGUGGCCUUCUCCUAGCUUAGACCAGUAGUGUCAGGGUUAUUUAGAGAACAAAUUCCUGAGCCCUACCUCUGGAGACUCUGAUCUGCUGGGUCUGAGAUAGACCUGGGAUUUUUUUUUUUUACCAGAGUUUCUGGUAAGUAAUACUAUAAAAAAUACAUUCUACAACAUUAAACAUACAAAAGGUCAUAAAAAGUACAACCAAUACUUUGAUACCUACUACCUAAGACGUAAAACACUGCCAGUGAAGUUAACCUCUUUGCAUACUCCUUCCCAAUAGCCUCUUGCUCUCUGCCCCAUAGAGGGAAGCAAUGUUAUGCAUUUGCAUUUCUUUUGUAUUUCCACUGCAAAUAAAUUUAUCUUAAACAAGUGGAA